Long non-coding RNA from Mandrillus leucophaeus (drill), 2193 nucleotides. RefSeq lists it as uncharacterized. NCBI's taxonomy places the organism in Eukaryota, Metazoa, Chordata, Mammalia, Primates, Cercopithecidae. The record is from RefSeq and is a predicted model, not a curated record. The transcript has 3 exons.
UGGAGGAAUCACCUAAAGAAACACCAUGAAGAAUUCGUUCUGGCCUCAAAUAGUUACAUGGAUGUUUGUUGCAGGAAGAUACAUUUAACCAUUGAAGUUCCUACUCAUUGAGUGAACCCUGUUUCCCUCCUCUCUGGUUUCCAGAAACAAGGAUUUUUUCUAAACUCCACUUACUUCUUGCCUCAUGGCUAAUGCCCAUGGAGGUGGGGUGAGUGACCUGCUGGUGACCAAGGGAAAUGAAUCUGCACAGGAAGCCCAGGCCCUCCCUCCCUCCCUUCUCAUUAGAAGCCAGCUUCCCCUGGAAAACAGCCACAUUCUGCUCUACUUUGUCAUGUCAAUGGGCCCCUCCCUCAGUGGGAAGGCUUAAGUUUUGUAAGAUUGACCAGAAGUGUGGUGAUAUUUCCUAAUUCCAGGGAAUGGAGCUAGUCAUGCCACACAUUUUUGCUGUUCUCACGAACUGAGAGUCUUCUUAUGUUGCCAUUUUGAACUCUUGCACUCAAAUGAUCCUCCUGCCUUGGCCUUCCAAAGUGCUGGGAUUACAGGUAUGAGCCACUGUGCCCUGCCCAAGCACCUCUGCUCCGUGCCAUGCUCUUGGCUAAUUGAAGUUGUGAAAGGCAUGAGGAUUCUGGUCAUGGACUCAGCUCUCCCACAGGGGUCUGACACCAAAGUAAUGGUCACAACAAUGAAAGGAAGAAUACAUCUGGCCAGGCUCAGGUGGUUUAAGGCCUUCAGAAUCUGCCUUGAGACUCUCCAGUGACAGUCUUUAGACUGAAAACCAUCUUGGCCCCAUCCAUCCCUGUAAGCAAUUUAACAACAGCUUGCAAAGCACCGAGCUUUAACAGAAAGAAGAGAUGAGCACGGCACAAGAACUUGGACUCCAGAAGAGCUGCCUAACAGAUUAUUUUUCUGUGGUAUUUCAUGAGAACAAACAAAGUAAGAAUUUUCCUUUUGUCCGUCUGGCCUUUGGCAUUGUUUACUUUCUUUUUAUUCUUCUGAACUGUACUUUGAGCCCUGGCAGCAUUUCUGUCCUAAAAUCUUAUUGUCAGAGGUUUUUCAGCUGUUUCAAAUCAUACCUGAUAGAGUGAGUGUGCUGCCUGGACUCAUCCCUUUACUUCAGAAGAAAUACAGCUCACCCUUUAAAUGACAAUGGUGAUUGUCCACAGCUUUAUGUUUUCUACACUGAAGUGGCAGGCUUCAUUUAAAAAUAGUGUUUUCCCUCAUCAAAAAAGAACUAGGGUAGAACCCUCAACUCUGCUGAUAUCCAGGUAGUGACCUAACACCCAUGUUUUGGACAAUCACUGCCUUAAAUCAGGUUUUCAUUGCUUGUAGGAUAAUUCUUUGUCAAUGGUGGUUUUGUCACCUGUGAUGUGAGGUAAUGAGGUUUUCUACUUUUGCUUGAAAUUUUGAAAAUAUGCAAGCUUUUAACAUUUGCAAAGUUGGAUUCUGUUUUCUUUACAAAGCAACCUGAUUUGCCGAUGUUUUCUCCAUCUGUCAGGGUAUGCGUGAUGUGGUGCAGACUUAAAGUGCUGCCCUUCUGGAACAUGGACAGAGUAGCAGCACAGAAAAAUGAGCAUUUCAGCUCUGUGAUGAUUUGUGAAAAAAUUUCAGAUCAUCGAGCAGGCAUUUUGCUGACACCUGUGAAAAGUAACCACAUCAGAGAGCGUGGCGUGAUGGUCGGAGGCCACAUGCUGGAGUUGGACUGCUUGAGUCAAAUCCCAGCUGCUCAGCUGUAGGGAACUGAAUGGUGGUCCCCAAAAGAUAUGUGUAUCUCCUAAUCCCUGGUACCUGUGAAUGUGACCAAAGACCCUUAAAGGGUCUUGGCAGAUGUAAUUACAUUGAGGCUCUCAGAGAUGAGAACAUCCUGGAUUAUCAGGGUGGGUCCUGUAUCCAAUGACAAGUGUCUCCUUAUAGGAGACAGAAGAAGAUGCAGACCCAGAAGAGACUAAGUAAAGAUGGAAGCAGAGACUGGAGUGAGGCUGCCACAGGCCAAAGAAUACCUGGUGCCAGCAGAAUCUGGAAGAGGCAAGGAAGGACACUUCCCUGGGGCUUUCGGAUGGAGCACAGCCCUGCUGAUGCCUUGGUGUUGGACAUCUGGGCUAUGGGACUAUGAGAACCUUCUGUUGUUUUAAGCCACCCAGUUUGUGGUACUCUGUUAUGGCUGCCACAGGAAACUAAUACACCCUUUACCACCUG